GGGUGUAUAGCUCAGUUGGACAGAGCAUUGGACUUUUAAUCCAAUGGUCAUGGGUUCAAUUCCCAUUACACCUA
RNAcentral lists this transfer RNA (74 nucleotides) under Imasa heleensis. Its description in RNAcentral is "tRNA-Lys". It matches the Rfam family "tRNA". Rfam says of the family: Transfer RNA (tRNA) molecules are approximately 80 nucleotides in length. Their secondary structure includes four short double-helical elements and three loops (D, anti-codon, and T loops). The record is from RNAcentral. Lineage: Eukaryota; Malawimonada; Malawimonadea; Malawimonadida; Imasidae.